This 253-nucleotide ribosomal RNA is filed under the name uncultured bacterium. Its description in RNAcentral is "partial 16S ribosomal RNA". It matches the Rfam family "Bacterial small subunit ribosomal RNA", at positions 524 to 776 of the family's 1533-position model. The record is from RNAcentral.
UACGUAGGCAGCAAGCGUUGUUCGGAGUUACUGGGCGUAAAGGGUGCGUAGGCGGCUUCUUAAGUCUGGUGUGAGAUCUCCCGGCUCAACUGGGAGGGUGCGCCGGAUACUGAGGGGCUAGAGUGUGGGAGAGGAAAGUGGAAUUCCUGGUGUAGCGGUGAAAUGCGUAGAUAUCAGGAGGAACACCGGUGGUGUAAACGGCUUUCUGGACCAUAACUGACGCUGAGGCACGAAAGCGUGGGGAGCAAACAGG